Molecule: long non-coding RNA, 3092 nt
Filed under: Zea mays
Lineage: Eukaryota; Viridiplantae; Streptophyta; Magnoliopsida; Poales; Poaceae
Description: long non-coding RNA (ZMAY_LNC000873)
Source: RNAcentral
AUUUGGGCAAUGUUUGGUACCUAAACCCCAAAACCCUAGACUUCUAACUAGUGCCUACCCUAGUUUUCUGGAGUACCGUGAAGGAAAAUUGUAUUCAAGACUUAAUACGAUGUACCUUUAUAUUGCAUUUUUAUAAGCAUCACACGAGCAUUCAUGGUUAUAUAUGAUAUAUAUAGAGAACGAGGAAGAAGUAGUGGUUGAAGAAGAUGAAGUUGCACCACCACCACUUGAAGACCCACCUGCCGGGAACUGCUUUUAUUUUGAUAUUUGAGGAGCAGAGCCUGUGAUGGAACCUCCCAAGUAAUUAGGCCCACCUACAGUUGUCCUUGUCCAACAGACAUCAAACACCCUGUAGAUGUUCCUAAGUCACUUGACAAGUUCGGUAUCUUUCCUUACCUUACCAGGAACGUUUCACCCGUCUUGCAGACAUUACAGAACAUCGGAGGUAAAGAAAUGCGGAAGCAAUUACAUAAACUUACAUUUGUUUAGAAAGUAAGAUCAAGUUACUUUUUACAGACCAGAGCUAUAAACGAGUGCUGAGUAUUAUUAUUACACAUAUCAAGGGAGGCAGAAACUCCUCCCGAUAGCUUUUAAACAAAAAGAUCCUAUAUGGAGGACCACGUCCUCCCGCAUCUUCACUCUUGUUUUUCUUCAUUUGGUACCACCUUGGAGCAAAAGCAACAAAAAUUUGUCGCUUCCUCACCUAAAAACAACAAAGGGAUAAACCCUGAGUAUGGAAUUACUCAGCAAGUCUUACCCGACUAAGGAAAAGACUCUCAAGGGUAUGCUGGAUAAAUAGGAGUCAAGGAGACGCUUUAGCAAAAAUCAACUUAUACUUUUGCAGAAGUAGCUUACUAAAGUGAGUCCUUACUUUCAAUCUUUUAACGCCAUAUUAAGUAUUAAUAGACUCUAUUUGCAUCUAGUCUAAUUUCACAUCACAUCAAGACAACAUCAUUUUUAUCCAUAGUGUUCACGUCCUGACUUUAGGUUGCAGGUCAGUGAUCAAGUCUCCACUCUCCGGGGAUAUAACGGCGAUCCGAAUCGAUUUACUCAGCUGAGGAUCUCUAACCACACGACAUAUGUAGCACUUAAUCCUUGCAUAUGUCAACUCGACCCCAGGGUUCUUAAGACCAGAUCAGGUUCACGCAAACCGAGAGCACAGAUACACCACCGUCCAGCCUCUUGCCACGGAGGGUACACGCUACUCCCGCCACCGCUCCACGCCCAUUUCGUGUUAUCUUAUUCUGGCCUUAGUCUGCCCGAGGCAAAGCUUACCCUGUCCCAUUUCCAGGGUAUGCGGCUAGCUAAGAUAGUCCUUGCUCUAUCAAGCCUACAUACGCAUUCAAUCCUUAAUCAACCUGGGUAGAACAUCACCUGUUCCUAGCCCAAGUCUCGAUUUAAGUAUUUCCAUCCUUAGGAUUGUUUCUGUUCCUUAGGAUGAAAAGAGCAUCACAGGGAACUUUGCAGUAAGAUCCCACCAUGCUCCCAAUGAAAAUAUAUUCUUGCAGGUAGAAGUCAUCUUUCCUCAGGAUAACCCCUGAGCAAGGCCUUAACGCAAAAGACAACUUCCAUCCACAAGAUCUAAGCAGGGCUAAGCAUUUUUGUAAAUCAAAUUUUGAUACUUCCAAGAAGUAUCUAUAACGGGUAUGGAUAUCAAGGAAGGCAAUGCAUCAAAGGGUUUCAAGCAACUCCUAUAAACUUAAUGCACAUUUCACUAGACUUAAAGUGUGCGAAAAGUAUUUAAAAACACAAGGAAGGGGUUGCAUGCACCGGGGCUUGCCUUUGUUUAUAGAUGAGUUAGUCUCAGGCCCGCAGAUGUUAAAGUAGAGACGAGACCCUGCCUGAGACUCCAAAGGUGGUGUUGUCUUCGCUUCAGGGACUUCCACUUCUUCUUCGCGUUCUAAAUAUAACCAUAUAGGUAUAUAUAAGAAUGAAUGCCAUGUAAUGCAAACUCUUACAAGGAGAGGUGGAGAACAGAAACACUACAACUAAAGCACAUGACAAGAAUAUACCUAUUUCUUAUUGCUCGAUUAAAGUGACCAAAUUGAAAUCACUUGGGUAAACCAGGGAAUUACCCCAACCAAGGUCUCAAGCAAAAGCUUAAAACUCCUUAAGUAACUUCAUCCAAGGGUCAAGAUCUCACUAGAUCAACAUGCCUCUGCCCCAAAAGCACUUAGUUCCAUAAUUAAGUAAGGAUUUAAUAACUAUUUUUGGAAUUUUUCUGUGAUUUCUAACAUAAUUUAUAAGCUCUUGAUAAAAGAAAAGACAAGGCUGUCAACAGUGUUGGGCCCCAAAUUGCUGGCGCGACCCAACAACCAGGCAAAGCUGGCCCAAACCCGGGAGCCCGCGCCCGCUUUGGCCAUCUUGCCCAAAGGACCUUGCGCUCUGGUUAAAAUAAUCCGAGCUCCCAGCCACUGUUGCUUGUGUCUCUGACAUCUUCGCUAAAACCCCUCGGCUACCACUCUUUUACAAGCACUCGGCCCUGACACUGCCCGCUCGGACUCCGGUGACCCAGUGCCAGCUCGGCCAUGGUGGCGCAACACCGGCGACGGCGAUGGUACCCACGUGAACCCCGAAUCGCAGUGAACUCGGGUAUGGGCUCAAUCGAUCCGUGAGAACUCCACAACCCAUCUAUCGACAGCGACGGCAGAGCACUGGAUUUGACGAACUUAAUUCCCCGAUCACCGCACGGUAGUGUUCAAACAAACGGGCCAGGGAGCUUUAGAGACCUCUCGAGUCUACGGUGCGCGCAUGCAAUCGCUCGGGAACUGGCGUGGUUAAUAUAGUUCACACCGAGGCUGUCCUCGGCGCCCGACUGCGACGGCGCGACCAUGUUCUACUCAACGUAUGGUGGUAAAGCUUGAACAAACCACUUGAUCAGCUUCACUGAUCAAUACAGAGCAUGGAACACAAGCCAUACGGGUGAGAAACUUUCUAAGCAUACCUGGCCACGGUGAAAUGGAGGAUCUGCAGGUGUUCAGUGCCUUGAUUAAUGGAUUUGGGGCGUGUCCAGGUUAUGAUUUUGGAGGAAGGGAACACAAUACAACUAACUGAAGCUACACAUGGUGAUCAAGAACUGAGACAAGGAUUAC